Molecule: long non-coding RNA, 455 nt
Organism: Erigeron canadensis
Lineage: Eukaryota; Viridiplantae; Streptophyta; Magnoliopsida; Asterales; Asteraceae
Exons: 4
Source: RefSeq, a predicted model, not a curated record
CAAUUAUCAAUUCAUUCAUCUCAGUCAACACAAAGUCAUGAUUGCAAUCACGGUUGAUGUUGUUUUCUCUAACAGAUUUAUUAUUUGUUUGGGACCGUAGCAUCAACAACGGAAGGAUUUUUGAAUAAUGAACAGAGGAACGUUUUGAACUAUGAAACUAGAGCUGAAAAGUAGGAUCUUUAGGUUUGGAUUUGAGAACUCAAGAAGGCUUCAAGAAUUAUUCAAAUAGCAUUCAUGCUGAUCCAAAUCAUGAUACUGGAAGUAUUAAGAGAUGGAUUGUGAUGUGCUUGAACUACAAGAGACAGUUGGCCGUCUCCCAUCUCUGUAGGCUCUCAUUCAUACUUGAUAUUUUAAUGCUGAUGUGUUUGAACUACGUAUAUAGUAUGAAGUUGUAAAUACAUAAAGGACAUGGUUUACCCGUUUAUUCAUGUAAGAUGACUUUUGAUAAAUGCUAA